UGGGGAAUAUUGGGCAAUGGGCGAAAGCCUGAACUAGCAACGCCGCGUGUGCGAAGAAGGCCUUCGGGUUGUAAAGCACUUUUUGAGAGGAUGAGGAAGGACGGUACUCUCAGAAUAAGUCUCGGCUAACUACGUGCCAGCAGCCGCGGUAACACGUAGGAGGCAAACGUUAUCCGGAUUUACUGGGCGUAAAGCGCGUGUAGGUGGUUUGGUAAGUAGGGCGUGAAAGCUCCUGGCUCAACUGGGAGAGGACGUUCUAAACUGCCAAGCUUGAGGAUGGUAGAGGGAGGUGGAAUUCCGGGUGUAGCGGUGGAAUGCGCAGAUAUCCGGAGGAACACCAGUGGCGAAGGCGGCCUCCUGGACCACUCCUGACACUCAGACGCGAAAGCUAGGGUAGCAAACGG
RNAcentral lists this ribosomal RNA (404 nucleotides) under uncultured bacterium. RNAcentral describes it as "bacterial SSU rRNA". It matches the Rfam family "Bacterial small subunit ribosomal RNA", at positions 355 to 775 of the family's 1533-position model. The record is from RNAcentral.